CGUUUAGCAUGAGCCCGGUUGGGCAGCUCCUAGUUCAGAUCUUGGUGGUAGUAGCACCUUGUCAGAGCGUUGAGGACAGCGGCGA
Molecule: ribosomal RNA, 85 nt
Filed under: Scrippsiella trochoidea
Lineage: Eukaryota; Dinophyceae; Peridiniales; Peridiniaceae
Description: partial Eukaryotic large subunit ribosomal RNA
Source: RNAcentral